ACGAACGCUGGCGGCGUGCUUCACACAUGCAAGUCGAACGGUGAAGCGCCUUCCUUUUUGGUGGGUGUGGAUGAGUGGCGAACGGGUGAGUAACACGUGAGUAACCUGCCCCCUUCUUCUGGAUAACCGCAUGAAAGUGUGGCUAAUACGGGAUAUUCUGGGUCUGUCGCAUGAUGGGUCUGGGAAAGAUAUUGUUUCGGUGGGGGAUGGGCUCGCGGCCUAUCAGCUUGUUGGUGGGGUGAUGGCCUACCAAGGCGGUGACGGGUAGCCGGCCUGAGAGGGUGGACGGUCACACUGGGACUGAGACACGGCCCAGACUCCUACGGGAGGCAGCAGUGGGGAAUAUUGCACAAUGGGCGCAAGCCUGAUGCAGCGACGCCGUGUGAGGGAUGGAGGCCUUCGGGUUGUGAACCUCUUUCGCCAGUGAAGCAGGCCUGCCUCGUUUGUGGGUGGGUUGACGGUAGCUGGAUAAGAAGCGCCGGCUAACUACGUG
RNAcentral lists this ribosomal RNA (493 nucleotides) under uncultured bacterium. Its description in RNAcentral is "partial 16S ribosomal RNA". It matches the Rfam family "Bacterial small subunit ribosomal RNA", at positions 29 to 507 of the family's 1533-position model. The record is from RNAcentral.